CUUCCUGUGAAAAUUUUUCAGUACUUUUAGAAUCAUGAAAUCUGAACUUGGAAGCUGAAAAAAACCUUAGAGGUCUUCUAACCCAGUCCUUUCAUUUCUUAGCCAGGGAAGGCCUAAAGAGUCCAGUGCCUGAACCAUGCUGACUCAGCUUAAUAGUGUACUUGUCACUGUGCCAAGCCACCCCAAGGGACCUCCCACAUCAUCCAGCCCUGGCCAGGGCUCUACUAGGAUCAGUAUGGAGUCCAUAUCUUCUGAAAUCUGUAACGCAAA
Ailuropoda melanoleuca (giant panda) is the source of this 270-nucleotide long non-coding RNA. RefSeq lists it as uncharacterized. The transcript is spliced from 2 exons. Lineage: Eukaryota; Metazoa; Chordata; Mammalia; Carnivora; Ursidae. The record is from RefSeq and is a predicted model, not a curated record.